UUUCCGUAGGUGAACCUGCGGACGGAUCAUUCAUAAUAAAGUGUUUUAUGGCACUUUUUAAAAAUCCAUAUCCACCUUGUGUGCAAUGUUAGAUCUCGUCAAUCUUGGCGAGAUUUUUAUACAUCAACUCAUUCUUUAACUAAUUUGUCUGAAAAAUAUAUGAAUACUUAAUUCAAAAUACAACUUUCAACAACGGAUCUCUUGGCUCUC
This 210-nucleotide unclassified non-coding RNA is filed under the name plant metagenome. RNAcentral's name for it is "partial contains small subunit ribosomal RNA, internal transcribed spacer 1, and 5.8S ribosomal RNA". The record is from RNAcentral.